RNAcentral lists this transfer RNA (71 nucleotides) under Myotis brandtii (Brandt's bat). It matches the Rfam family "tRNA". Rfam says of the family: Transfer RNA (tRNA) molecules are approximately 80 nucleotides in length. Their secondary structure includes four short double-helical elements and three loops (D, anti-codon, and T loops). The record is from Rfam by way of RNAcentral. Lineage: Eukaryota; Metazoa; Chordata; Mammalia; Chiroptera; Vespertilionidae.
GCCCACAUGGCUCAAUGGUUGAGCAUCGACCUAUGAACCGGGAGGUCAUGGUUCGAUUCCCUGUCAGGGCA